GGCUACUACCGGAAGCACCACUGUGGAGGAACGCUGGUGGGAGAGAACUGGGUGAUCACUGCGGCACACUGUUUUGAAAGAUCUAACCGACCGGCCUCGUUUUCAGUGCGCCUUGGGGAUCAUCAGCAGGGAAAAAGUGACCAGACAGAGGCAGACAAACUUGUGGAAAAAAUUAUACCGUACCCAUACUACAAAAACGACAACAGCGGGCAGCAUGAUAUCGCGUUGAUCAAAUUGGGCAGCAAAGUCGCCUACAGUCCACACAUCAUUCCAGCGUGUCUCCCGGCGCCAACGGACAGCUUUGAAAGCAAUCACGACUGCUGGGUGACUGGGUGGGGAGACAC
This is a long non-coding RNA of Lingula anatina, 344 nucleotides long. The record is from RefSeq and is a predicted model, not a curated record. Lineage: Eukaryota; Metazoa; Brachiopoda; Lingulata; Lingulida; Lingulidae.